CAAUCGCAUCUUGGGUUUGAGCAGGUGUUAGACAAUUGUAUCCUGAGUUUGAGCAGGUGGUUAGUGGGGGCAAGAAUCUACUUCAAAGUCUUGAGUCACCAAGACCACCAUAUCUUGGGUUGAGUACACUUUGUGGGGUACAAAGUACAGAAAUCAAUCUAUUAUAAGAAAACAGCUUUCAUUUCAGUUUCUCAGAAACAGCUCUUGUAACAGUUUUUUUAUAGAAGGCAGCAGAAUGGAGUCCUAGGCCUGUCUAUGACAGUUUUUGCUUUAUAAUUAUCUUAACUCACUUAUCAAAUUCUAUAUCUAUAAUCUAUAUUUUUUACUAACCUAUAACCUAUAACUUACACUCUUAUUGAUUGUAUUUGUCAUUUCACACCACAGCAGGACUACAUGCACAUACCACUGCCCCUAGCCUAAGUAUUGCAUUUUUGAAAUGGAGCACUUGUCCUCCUGGACCUUAAAGUCUGUAGUGAAGGAUGUAAAUUAUAAACAGACAGUUACCAAACUGUGCAGUAAGUACACCCCCCCCCCCAAAGUCCAGGGUGGCUUGGGGCUACAGUAGAGGACUCUUAACUCAUAUUUUGGGGAGUUCCUGAGAGGAAAUAAAAUCUAAGCUAAGAAGUAAAGAAUGAAUGGAUGUUGUUCAGUCUAGUGGAAGAAAGAGGGAGAGAAGUGCUCCUAGAGAAGGAAUAGGAGAGGAAGAGAGAGAUGACUUGUUCACCUUAUUCCAAUAUAGUGAGACUUUAAAGCAUUUUAAGUUGGGAAAUGACUUGGUUAAAAAAUACAUUUUAGAAAUUUAUUCUAAUGGUAAUAUUGGAGGCAAAGAGGCAAGUUAGUGGGUCAGUUGUGUCUGGCUAGAGAGGGUGAUGUCUCAAGUGAAGGCCUUCACCCUGGAAAUUCCGAGAAAGACAUGGAUGGGUUUGAGAGAUACUUAAAAGGUAGAACUGCAGGGACAUGGUCACUUAUUGGUUUAUGAAGGAGGAAGAACAGAAAGGAGUGAAAGAUGGUACCUUAUAUACUAGCUUGGUCACUGGGUAGAAGCUGGGUAGAAUACUUCACUAGGCUACUGAACACGGAAGAGGAACAGGUUUAGGAGUGAUGACAGCCAGUGAGUUCAUUGGGGCAUAAAGAGUUAGUUUUGAAGUCAAGGGAUGAGGAUUAGAUAUGGGAAUUUUGAAAUCAUCAGCAUAUGGUUGUUUAUUGAAGUAUUGGGACUUUAUGAACUAGCAUGUGAAGGAACCAUAGGAAGAAGCUAAAAAUUUAUGGGACAAAUGGAAUCACUGUCAGAUUGUGAUAAGACGUUGGGCAAUUGUGAUCAUUUUUUUUCCUCUUCAAUUUUUUAUAUGAAAUCUAUCAGCCAGGCAUGGUAGCACAUGUCUGUAAUUCCAACUACUAAGAGGGCUGAGGCAGAAGGAUCUCCAGUUCAAGGUUAAUAUGAGUAAUACAGGAAGAUCUCCAUCUAAACAAAUAAAACCCAUGAAAUCUAUCAAACAUACAGAAAAGUUGAAAAAACUGUUCAAGGAAUACCUAUGUAUCCUCCACUGAAAUGAUUGCUAAUAUUGCCAUACUAGCUUUAGGUGUGGCCAUAUUUUUCAUUUUGUUGAAUUAUUUGAGAGUGGUAGGUAUGAUAUUACACUUCAAUAUGCAUUUUCUAAAAACAGGGACCUUCACUUAC
RNAcentral lists this long non-coding RNA (1678 nucleotides) under Marmota monax (woodchuck). Lineage: Eukaryota; Metazoa; Chordata; Mammalia; Rodentia; Sciuridae. The record is from RNAcentral.